Molecule: ribosomal RNA, 895 nt
Filed under: uncultured bacterium
Lineage: Bacteria
Description: bacterial SSU rRNA
Rfam family: Bacterial small subunit ribosomal RNA
Source: RNAcentral
AGAGUUUGAUCAUGGCUCAGGAUGAACGCUGGCGGCGUGCCUAACACAUGCAAGUCGAACGGUAAGGCCCCAGCUUGCUGGGGUACACGAGUGGCGAACGGGUGAGUAACACGUGGGUGACCUGCCCCGCACUUCGGGAUAAGCCUGGGAAACUGGGUCUAAUACCGGAUAGGACCGCACCGUGAGGGUGUGGUGGAAAGUUUUUCGGUGUGGGAUGGGCCCGCGGCCUAUCAGCUUGUUGGUGGGGUAAUGGCCUACCAAGGCGGCGACGGGUAGCCGGCCUGAGAGGGUGGACGGCCACAUUGGGACUGAGACACGGCCCAGACUCCUACGGGAGGCAGCAGUGGGGAAUAUUGCACAAUGGGCGGAAGCCUGAUGCAGCGACGCCGCGUGGGGGAUGACGGCCUUCGGGUUGUAAACUCCUUUCACCAUCGACGAAGGUUUUCUGACGGUAGAUGGAGAAGAAGCACCGGCUAACUACGUGCCAGCAGCCGCGGUAAUACGUAGGGUGCGAGCGUUGUCCGGAAUUACUGGGCGUAAAGAGCUCGUAGGUGGUUUGUCGCGUCGUCUGUGAAAUUCCGGGGCUUAACUCCGGGCGUGCAGGCGAUACGGGCAUAACUUGAGUACUGUAGGGGAGACUGGAAUUCCUGGUGUAGCGGUGAAAUGCGCAGAUAUCAGGAGGAACACCGGUGGCGAAGGCGGGUCUCUGGGCAGUAACUGACGCUGAGGAGCGAAAGCAUGGGUAGCGAACAGGAUUAGAUACCCUGGUAGUCCACGCCGUAAACGGUGGGCGCUAGGUGUAGGGGUCUUCCACGACUUCUGUGCCGUAGCUAACGCAUUAAGCGCCCCACCUGGGGAGUACGGCCGCAAGGCUAAAACUCAAAGGAAUUGACGG